ACUUAAGUAUCUUAAAAUUAAAGUAUAAUAUUGAAGUUAUUAUUAUAAGCUCAGCUUCUUAAGUG
This 65-nucleotide transfer RNA is filed under the name Aradacanthia heissi. RNAcentral's name for it is "tRNA-Phe". The record is from RNAcentral. Lineage: Eukaryota; Metazoa; Arthropoda; Insecta; Hemiptera; Aradidae.